CCUACGGGUGGCAGCAGUGAGGAAUAUUGGUCAAUGGCCGUAAGGCUGAACCAGCCAAGUCGCGUGAAGGAUGACUGACCUAUGGUUUGUAAACUUCUUUUAUAGGGGAAUAAAGGUAUCCACGUGUGGCUAUUUGCAUGUACCUUAUGAAUAAGCAUCGGCUAACUCCGUGCCAGCAGCCGCGGUAAUACGGAGGAUGCGAGCGUUAUCCGGAUUUAUUGGGUUUAAAGGGAGCGUAGGUUGUUUUUUAAGUCAGCGGUGAAAGUUUGUGGCUCAACCAUAAAAUUGCCGUUGAUACUGGAAGACUUGAGUAUGUUUGAGGUAGGCGGAAUGCGUGGUGUAGCGGUGAAAUGCAUAGAUAUCACGAAGAACUCCGAUUGCGAAGGCAGCUUACUAAGCUGUAACUGACACUGAUGCACGAAAGCGUGGGGAUCAAACAGGAUUAGAUACCCCUGUAGUC
RNAcentral lists this ribosomal RNA (460 nucleotides) under uncultured bacterium. Its description in RNAcentral is "partial 16S ribosomal RNA". It matches the Rfam family "Bacterial small subunit ribosomal RNA", at positions 338 to 795 of the family's 1533-position model. The record is from RNAcentral.